UUAAAGUUUUAUUUUAGCUUAAAUAUUAACUUUUAUUUUAUAAUAAUAUAUAAAUUUUUGUAAUAAAUAAAUAUUUUUAAAUAAAAUAUAUUUUAAUAGUAGUAUUUAUAUUUAAUUAUAAAGUAAUUUUUGAAUUAGUAAAAAUAAUAAAUUAAACAAAUUUUGUGCCAGCAGUUGCGGUUAUACAAAUUAAUUAAGUUAAUAAUUUUAAUUUGAAUAUAAUGUUUAUUUUAUAAUAAAAUUAAAUUUUUAAAGUGAAAUUUUAAAUUUAAAUAUUAUAUAUAUAUUUAUUUUAAGUUCAUAAAAUUAAAUUAGAAACUAGGAUUAGAUACCCUAUUAUUUUAAAAUUAAUAUUAAAAAUUAGAGAAGUAUUAGAAAAAUCUUGAAAUUUAAAAAUUUUGGCGGUAUUUUAAUCUAUUCAGAGGAACCUGUUCUGUAAUUGAUAGUCCACGAUUAUUUAUACUUAUGUUUUUAAUUUACAUAUCAUUGUAGUUUGAAUAUUUUAAAAGAAUUAAUAUUCAAUUUAUUUAAAAUAAUAAAAAAUCAAAUCAAGGUGUAGUUUAUAUGUAAGAAGAAAUGGGUUACAAUAAAUUUAUUUAUGAAUAAUUUUUUAAAAAAAAAUUUAAAAUUGGAUUUGAAAGUAAUUUUAAAUAUUUAUUUAUAAUGAUUAAGUUUUAAAAUAUGUACAUAUCGCCCGUCAUUUUCAUUUUAUUUGAAACAAGUCGUAACAAAGUAGAAUUAUCGGAAGAUGAUUCUAGAAUUCA
Molecule: non-coding RNA, 764 nt
Filed under: Curculionoidea sp. 29 KM-2017
Lineage: Eukaryota; Metazoa; Arthropoda; Insecta; Coleoptera
Source: RNAcentral